GGAAGUUCUUUCCUCAUCUGGCUAGCGGGGCUCACUAAAGGAGGGAUGGAUACAGGGUUUGAGACCCUACUGUCAAUGUCAAGAGUCUGAUCACCGAGUCCAGCGACGAGAUGUAUAGAUGGAGGCCCUCUCUAGGGAGGAGAUUCUCCUAAGACAAUAAGAAGCCAACGAAUAGAGGGGACACCAGCUUCUUUGAGUCAUUCAUCCAUGUCUGCCCUUUUUUGGGGGGGAUGGAGAAGGCAUUAAUGGUUUAUAAUAAAUACAGUUGUUGGUA
Molecule: long non-coding RNA, 274 nt
Organism: Erinaceus europaeus (western European hedgehog)
Lineage: Eukaryota; Metazoa; Chordata; Mammalia; Eulipotyphla; Erinaceidae
Exons: 2
Source: RefSeq, a predicted model, not a curated record